GACGAACGCUGGCGGCGUGCUUAACACAUGCAAGUCGAACGGUGAAGCUCCAGCUUGCUGGAGUGGAUCAGUGGCGAACGGGUGAGUAACACGUGAGCAACCUGCCCCUGACUCUGGAAUAAGCGCUGGAAACGGCGUCUAAUACUGGAUAUGAGAAGGGUCCGCAUGGACACUUUCUGGAAAGUUUUUCGGUUGGGGAUGGGCUCGCGGCCUAUCAGCUUGUUGGUGAGGUAAUGGCUCACCAAGGCGACGACGGGUAGCCGGCCUGAGAGGGCGACCGGCCACACUGGGACUGAGACACGGCCCAGACUCCUACGGGAGGCAGCAGUGGGGAAUAUUGCACAAUGGGCGAAAGCCUGAUGCAGCGACGCCGCGUGAGGGAUGACGGCCUUCGGGUUGUAAACCUCUUUCAGCAGGGAAGAAGCGAAAGUGACGGUACCUGCAGAAGAAGCACCGGCUAACUACGUG
This 468-nucleotide ribosomal RNA is filed under the name uncultured bacterium. Its description in RNAcentral is "partial 16S ribosomal RNA". It matches the Rfam family "Bacterial small subunit ribosomal RNA", at positions 28 to 507 of the family's 1533-position model. The record is from RNAcentral.